This 58-nucleotide transfer RNA is filed under the name Weissella confusa. RNAcentral's name for it is "tRNA-Lys". It matches the Rfam family "tRNA", at positions 8 to 63 of the family's 71-position model. Rfam says of the family: Transfer RNA (tRNA) molecules are approximately 80 nucleotides in length. Their secondary structure includes four short double-helical elements and three loops (D, anti-codon, and T loops). The record is from RNAcentral. Lineage: Bacteria; Bacillati; Bacillota; Bacilli; Lactobacillales; Lactobacillaceae. RNAcentral also lists the same sequence under 1 other name.
UAGCUCAGUUGGUAGAGCAACGGACUCUUAAUCCGUGGGUCCAGGGUUCGAGCCCCUG